Mizuhopecten yessoensis (Yesso scallop) is the source of this 803-nucleotide long non-coding RNA. RefSeq lists it as uncharacterized. The record is from RefSeq and is a predicted model, not a curated record. The transcript has 3 exons. Lineage: Eukaryota; Metazoa; Mollusca; Bivalvia; Pectinida; Pectinidae.
GAAACAUAUUCAGAUUUCAGCCCUGAAAAUGGACAUGGCUGACAAGAGACCAACUGUAUAUUUUGGAGCACAGUGAGACCUGUAAAGAAAUCCAGAACAUCAGUGAAAGACCAACUCAACCACCUGGUUUCGAAUCGACAGGAAAAAAUGUCAAAAUUAAACCUUCAACAUCAGCAGAAAAUGAGGGCUACAUAGGAAAGCAUGCAACAGCUUAGAGGUCAAGCCAUUUCUUCUGUACUCUGCUUCCUUAACUUAAGGAACGUUAUGAAACUGGGGCUGGAAGUGCCGAUAACUCCAGGGUGGGAGGCUGGUCCAGACUCCUUCGUGGUGGUGGCGACAUCGGAAGGUUGGACACUUCCAACAAUAGAGGCUAUGAAAUGGAAGAAAUGAAAUACUAUUAUAUAGUUUAACUCCAUUCAUCUCUUAAAUUAUAUCUUAUGUAUCUUAUACCCAAAAACACUCGAUAUGAUACCGAAAAAUCGCUAUUUAUUUCUUACCUCAUUCUGUUGGACGAUAAAAGUGGAGUCAAGGUUCGAGGCAGGGUUUGUCGAUGUCGGAGUGACUGAGGGUGGGUCCGCAAUACUCGUCUGUUUGGGGAAAAAAUAUUAGUUUAAUCGUGACGUUAACGGGUGAGCACCGUAAUUUGUAUAUCGACCAUUUUUUUAAUUUUACUUUUGAUGUGUUAUAUUCCUUACCUCAUCCAUAUAUGGCAUAGUGGGGUCAAUCAUCCUGGUUGCCUAUUAGACGGGCGGCUGCCGGGGAAAAACAAGAAAAGCUACAUAAAAUAUGUUAAAUAAAUUUGA